This 210-nucleotide unclassified non-coding RNA is filed under the name Glomeraceae sp. RNAcentral's name for it is "partial contains 5.8S ribosomal RNA and internal transcribed spacer 2". The stretch from base 1 to 71 matches the Rfam family "5.8S ribosomal RNA", at positions 84 to 154 of the family's 154-position model. Lineage: Eukaryota; Fungi; Glomeromycota; Glomeromycetes; Glomerales; Glomeraceae. The record is from RNAcentral.
GUGAAUCAUCGAAUUUUUGAACGCAAAUUGCACUUUCUGGUAUUCCGGAAAGUAUUCCUGUUUCAGGGUCUGUUAAAUAAACAUCGUUGCUGUUUCUGCCUUUCGUGGUGACGCGACGGAAUUGUGUUGUCUUACCUUCGGUUAAGUGACUUAAAAUUUUCUUUUUUUUUCCAUGGAAGUUUAAAUUAUUUAUUUCUUUUCACGUUUCAG